GAUGAACGCUGGCGGCGUGCUUAACACAUGCAAGUCGAACGAAGCACUUUAUUUGAUUUCCUUCGGGACUGAUUAUUUUGUGACUGAGUGGCGGACGGGUGAGUAACGCGUGGGUAACCUGCCUUGUACAGGGGGAUAACAGUUGGAAACGGCUGCUAAUACCGCAUAAGCGCACAGCAUCGCAUGAUGCAGUGUGAAAAACUCCGGUGGUAUAAGAUGGACCCGCGUUGGAUUAGCUAGUUGGUGAGGUAACGGCCCACCAAGGCGACGAUCCAUAGCCGACCUGAGAGGGUGACCGGCCACAUUGGGACUGAGACACGGCCCAAACUCCUACUGGAGGCAGCAGUGGGGAAUAUUGCACAAUGGGCGAAAGCCUGAUGCAGCGACGCCGCGUGAGCGAAGAAGUAUUUCGGGAUGUAAAGCUCUAUCAGCAGGGAAGAUAAUGACGGUACCUGACUAAGAAGCACCGGCUAAAUACGUG
RNAcentral lists this ribosomal RNA (481 nucleotides) under uncultured bacterium. Its description in RNAcentral is "partial 16S ribosomal RNA". It matches the Rfam family "Bacterial small subunit ribosomal RNA", at positions 28 to 507 of the family's 1533-position model. The record is from RNAcentral.